GAUGAAGAACGCAGCGAAAUGCGAUACGUAAUGUGAAUUGCAAAUUCAGUGAAUCAUCGAGUCUUUGAACGCACAUUGCGCCCCCUGGUAUUCCGGGGGGCAUGCCUGUCCGAGCGUCAUUGCUGCCCUCAAGCACGGCUUGUGUGUUGGGCCCCGUCCUCCGAUCCCGGGGGACGGGCCCGAAAGGCAGCGGCGGCACAGCGUCCGGUCCUCGAGCGUAUGGGGCUUUGUCACCCGCUCUGUAGGCCCGGCCGGCGCUUGCCGAUCAACCCAAAUUUUUUAUCCAGGUUGACCUCGGAUCAGGUAGGGAUACCCGCUGAACUUAAGCAUAUCAAUAAGCGGAGG
This 345-nucleotide unclassified non-coding RNA is filed under the name soil metagenome. RNAcentral describes it as "partial contains 5.8S ribosomal RNA, internal transcribed spacer 2, and large subunit ribosomal RNA". The stretch from base 1 to 119 matches the Rfam family "5.8S ribosomal RNA", at positions 35 to 154 of the family's 154-position model. The record is from RNAcentral.